This 76-nucleotide transfer RNA is filed under the name Herpetosiphon geysericola. RNAcentral's name for it is "tRNA-Phe". It matches the Rfam family "tRNA". From Rfam's summary of the family: Transfer RNA (tRNA) molecules are approximately 80 nucleotides in length. Their secondary structure includes four short double-helical elements and three loops (D, anti-codon, and T loops). Further hydrogen bonds mediate the characteristic L-shaped molecular structure. tRNAs have two regions of fundamental functional importance: the anti-codon, which is responsible for specific mRNA codon recognition, and the 3' end, to which the tRNAs corresponding amino acid is attached (by aminoacyl-tRNA synthetases). tRNAs cope with the degeneracy of the genetic code in two manners: having more than one tRNA (with a specific anti-codon) for a particular amino acid; and 'wobble' base-pairing, i.e. permitting non-standard base-pairing at the 3rd anti-codon position. Lineage: Bacteria; Bacillati; Chloroflexota; Chloroflexia; Herpetosiphonales; Herpetosiphonaceae. RNAcentral also lists the same sequence under 6 other names. The record is from RNAcentral.
GCCACUUUAGCUCAGUUGGUAGAGCAUACGACUGAAAAUUGUAGGGUCUCCGGUUCGAGCCCGGAAGGUGGCACCA